CUGCAGGAACAUUGUUUUAUGGAUAAGCUUGUCAACCAAAAAGUCACAAAAUCUGCCAGAUACUAAGAGGAGGAAGAAAAUGGACAAAGACAAACAUACAGAAAGGACCAAUGCUAUGGAUAUUAUGAACAGCAACCUCAAUUUCUGUCAUGACUACAAGGAAUGGACAGCAUUAAUAAAAUGUAACCUUGUCAUUAUUUAAUGACAACAUUAAGAAUCUAUCAACAUGAUUUAACAGAUCUAUAUGUUAAAGGAGAAAAAGAUAUGUGGAUGCUAUCAAUAGUAGCUGAAAAGCAUUUUCAGAAAUCUGUAAGUAGAGGAAAUGUAUUCAUAUGUUUCUAUGUUCUAGAAUAGAUAUUUUGACUAGACAAAAGUUGAAAUCUUGUGUCUUAUGUUUUUAUUUAAAUGAUAGACUCAAUACGUAAGUAGUCACAAGACAUAUGAUAUUGUCUGGAUCUGUGUCUCUGCUCAAAUCUCAUGUUGAAUUGGAAUCCCCAGCGUUGGAGGUAGGGCCUGCUGGGAAGUGAUUGAAUCAUUGGGGUGGAUCCUUCAUAAAUAUUUUAGCACCAUCCCUUUGGUGCUGUUCUCGUGAUAGAGUUCUCACAAGAUCUGGUUGUUUAAAAGUGUGUGGCACCUCCCCAUCCUCUGUCUCUGGUCAUGUAAGAUGUAUCUGCUUCCCCUUUGCUUCCACCAUGAUCAAAAGUUUCCUGAGGCCCCCCUGGAAGCUGAGUAGCUGCGGCCAUGCUUCCUGUAGUCUGUGGAACUGUGAAACAAUUAAAACUUUUUCCUUUAUAAAUUACCCAGUCUCAGAUAUUUCUUUAUAGGGGGGCAAGAAUGAACAAAUACAACACAUGAAAGAGAAGGGUGGAAAUGC
Molecule: long non-coding RNA, 874 nt
Filed under: Homo sapiens (human)
Lineage: Eukaryota; Metazoa; Chordata; Mammalia; Primates; Hominidae
Description: HSALNT0337593
Source: RNAcentral